CAUGCAAGUCGAACGAUGAACCUCUUUCGGGAGGGGAUUAGUGGCGAACGGGUGAGUAACACGUGGGCAAUCUGCCCUGCACUCUGGGACAAGCCCUGGAAACGGGGUCUAAUACCGGAUAUGACCAUUGGGGGCAUCCCUGGUGGUGGAAAGCUCCGGCGGUGCAGGAUGAGCCCGCGGCCUAUCAGCUUGUUGGUGGGGUGAUGGCCUACCAAGGCGACGACGGGUAGCCGGCCUGAGAGGGCGACCGGCCACACUGGGACUGAGACACGGCCCAGACUCCUACGGGAGGCAGCAGUGGGGAAUAUUGCACAAUGGGCGAAAGCCUGAUGCAGCGACGCCGCGUGAGGGAUGACGGCCUUCGGGUUGUAAACCUCUUUCAGCAGGGAAGAAGCGAAAGUGACGGUACCUGCAGAAGAAGCGCCGGCUAACUACGUGCCAGCAGCCGCGGUAAUACGUAGGGCGCGAGCGUUGUCCGGAAUUAUUGGGCGUAAAGAGCUCGUAGGCGGCUUGUCGCGUCGGUUGUGAAAGCCCGGGGCUUAACCCCGGGUCUGCAGUCGAUACGGGCAGGCUAGAGUUCGGUAGGGGAGAUCGGAAUUCCUGGUGUAGCGGUGAAAUGCGCAGAUAUCAGGAGGAACACCGGUGGCGAAGGCGGAUCUCUGGGCCGAUACUGACGCUGAGGAGCGAAAGCGUGGGGAGCGAACAGGAUUAGAUACCCUGGUAGUCCACGCCGUAAACGUUGGGCACUAGGUGUGGGCGACAUUCCACGUCGUCCGUGCCGCAGCUAACGCAUUAAGUGCCCCGCCUGGGGAGUACGGCCGCAAGGCUAAAACUCAAAGGAAUUGACGGGG
RNAcentral lists this ribosomal RNA (851 nucleotides) under Streptomyces sp. RNAcentral's name for it is "bacterial SSU rRNA". It matches the Rfam family "Bacterial small subunit ribosomal RNA", at positions 54 to 918 of the family's 1533-position model. The record is from RNAcentral. Lineage: Bacteria; Bacillati; Actinomycetota; Actinomycetes; Kitasatosporales; Streptomycetaceae.